RNAcentral lists this ribosomal RNA (253 nucleotides) under uncultured bacterium. RNAcentral's name for it is "partial 16S ribosomal RNA". It matches the Rfam family "Bacterial small subunit ribosomal RNA", at positions 524 to 776 of the family's 1533-position model. The record is from RNAcentral.
UACGUAGGGUGCGAGCGUUGUCCGGAAUUAUUGGGCGUAAAGGGCUCGUAGGCGGUUUGUCGCGUCGGGAGUGAAAACCAUGGGCUUAACUCAUGGCUUGCUUCCGAUACGGGCAGACUAGAGGUAUGCAGGGGAGAACGGAAUUCCUGGUGUAGCGGUGAAAUGCGCAGAUAUCAGGAGGAACACCGGUGGCGAAGGCGGUGCUCUGGGCAUUACCUGACGCUGAGGAGCGAAAGUGUGGGGAGCGAACAGG